Molecule: unclassified non-coding RNA, 263 nt
Filed under: plant metagenome
Description: partial contains small subunit ribosomal RNA, internal transcribed spacer 1, and 5.8S ribosomal RNA
Source: RNAcentral
UUUCCGUAGGUGAACCUGCGGAAGGAUCAUUAUUGUAUAACCGAGGUGCGAGGGCUGUCGCUGACCCGAAAGGUCGUGCACGCCCGAGUGCCCUCACACACAUCCAUCUCACCCCUAUGGGCACCACCGCGUGGGUCCCCCUUUGGCUUGUUCGGAGGGGGGCUUACGUGUUCACACAAACUUUGUAUGCAGUGUAGAAUGUAUUUUUUGUUUUUGCGAUCACGCAAUCAAUACAACUUUCAACAACGGAUCUCUUGGCUCUC